Molecule: ribosomal RNA, 2890 nt
Filed under: Acinetobacter baumannii
Lineage: Bacteria; Pseudomonadati; Pseudomonadota; Gammaproteobacteria; Moraxellales; Moraxellaceae
Description: bacterial LSU rRNA
Rfam family: Bacterial large subunit ribosomal RNA
Source: RNAcentral
UCAAGUAAUUAAGUGCAUGUGGUGGAUGCCUUGGCAGUCAGAGGCGAUGAAAGACGUGAUAGCCUGCGAAAAGCUCCGGGGAGGCGGCAAAUAUCCUUUGAUCCGGAGAUGUCUGAAUGGGGAACCCACCUACUUUAAGGUAGGUAUUGCAACAUGAAUACAUAGUGUUGCAAGGCGAACGAGGGGAAGUGAAACAUCUCAGUACCCUUAGGAAAAGAAAUCAAUUGAGAUUCCCUCAGUAGCGGCGAGCGAACGGGGAUCAGCCCAUUAAGUUAUGUGUGUUUUAGUGGAACGCUCUGGGAAGUGCGAACGUAGAGGGUGAUAUUCCCGUACACGAAAGGGCACACAUAAUGAUGACGAGUAGGGCGAGGCACGUGAAACCUUGUCUGAAUAUGGGGGGACCAUCCUCCAAGGCUAAAUACUCCUGACUGACCGAUAGUGAACCAGUACCGUGAGGGAAAGGCGAAAAGAACCCCUGUGAGGGGAGUGAAAUAGAUCCUGAAACCGCAUGCAUACAAGCAGUGGGAGCACCUUCGUGGUGUGACUGCGUACCUUUUGUAUAAUGGGUCAGCGACUUAUAUUCAGUAGCGAGGUUAACCGUAUAGGGGAGCCGUAGAGAAAUCGAGUCUUAAUAGGGCGUUUAGUUGCUGGGUAUAGACCCGAAACCAGGCGAUCUAUCCAUGAGCAGGUUGAAGGUUGGGUAACACUAACUGGAGGACCGAACCCACUGUCGUUGAAAAGCCAGGGGAUGACUUGUGGAUAGGGGUGAAAGGCUAAUCAAGCCUGGUGAUAGCUGGUUCUCCCCGAAAGCUAUUUAGGUAGCGCCUCGGACGAAUACCAUAGGGGGUAGAGCACUGUUUCGGCUAGGGGGUCAUCCCGACUUACCAAACCGAUGCAAACUCCGAAUACCUAUGAGUACUAUCCGGGAGACAGACUGCGGGUGCUAACGUCCGUAGUCAAGAGGAAAACAAUCCAGACCGCCAGCUAAGGCCCCAAAAUCAUAGUUAAGUGGGAAACGAUGUGGGAAGGCAUAGACAGCUAGGAGGUUGGCUUAGAAGCAGCCACCCUUUAAAGAAAGCGUAAUAGCUCACUAGUCGAGUCGGCCUGCGCGGAAGAUGUAACGGGGCUAAAACUAUGUGCCGAAGCUGCGGAUGUAUACUUUGUAUACGUGGUAGGGGAGCGUUCUGUAAGCCGAUGAAGGUGUGUUGAGAAGCAUGCUGGAGGUAUCAGAAGUGCGAAUGCUGACGUGAGUAACGACAAAACGGGUGAAAAACCCGUUCGCCGAAAGACCAAGGGUUCCAGUCCAACGUUAAUCGGGGCUGGGUGAGUCGACCCCUAAGGCGAGGCCGAAAGGCGUAGUCGAUGGGAAAAUGGUUAAUAUUCCAUUACUUCUGUGUAAUGCGAUGAGAGGACGGAGAAGGCUAAAUCAGCCUGGCGUUGGUUGUCCAGGUGAAAGGAUGUAGGCAUGUAUCUUAGGCAAAUCCGGGGUACUCUAUGCUGAGAUCUGAUAGCAAGCUGUACUUGUACAGCGAAGUGGUUGAUGCCAUGCUUCCAGGAAAAGUCUCUAAGCUUCAGUUACACAGGAAUCGUACCCGAAACCGACACAGGUGGUCAGGUCGAGUAGACCAAGGCGCUUGAGAGAACUCUGCUGAAGGAACUAGGCAAAAUGGUACCGUAACUUCGGGAGAAGGUACGCUGUUGUUGGUGAUGGAACUCGCUUCCUGAGCUGACGACAGCCGCAGAAACCAGGCCGCUGCAACUGUUUAUUAAAAACAUAGCACUCUGCAAACACGAAAGUGGACGUAUAGGGUGUGAUGCCUGCCCGGUGCUGGAAGGUUAAUUGAUGGGGUUAGCGUAAGCGAAGCUCUUGAUCGAAGCCCCAGUAAACGGCGGCCGUAACUAUAACGGUCCUAAGGUAGCGAAAUUCCUUGUCGGGUAAGUUCCGACCUGCACGAAUGGCAUAAUGAUGGCGGCGCUGUCUCCAGCAGAGGCUCAGUGAAAUCGAAAUCGCUGUGAAGAUGCAGUGUACCCGCGGCUAGACGGAAAGACCCCGUGAACCUUUACUGCAGCUUGACACUGAACUUUGACCUUACUUGUGUAGGAUAGGUGGGAGGCUUUGAAGCUGGAACGCUAGUUCCAGUGGAGCCGUCCUUGAAAUACCACCCUGGUAAUGUUGAGGUUCUAACUCUGUCCCGUGAUCCGGGACGAGGACCGUGUCUGGUGGGUAGUUUGACUGGGGCGGUCUCCUCCUAAAGAGUAACGGAGGAGUACGAAGGUGCGCUCAGCGUGGUCGGAAAUCACGCGUAGAGUAUAAAGGCAAAAGCGCGCUUAACUGCGAGACCCACAAGUCGAGCAGGUACGAAAGUAGGUCUUAGUGAUCCGGUGGUUCUGUAUGGAAGGGCCAUCGCUCAACGGAUAAAAGGUACUCUGGGGAUAACAGGCUGAUACCGCCCAAGAGUUCAUAUCGACGGCGGUGUUUGGCACCUCGAUGUCGGCUCAUCUCAUCCUGGGGCUGAAGCAGGUCCCAAGGGUAUGGCUGUUCGCCAUUUAAAGAGGUACGCGAGCUGGGUUUAGAACGUCGUGAGACAGUUCGGUCCCUAUCUACCGUGGGCGCUGGAAAUUUGAGAGGAUCUGCUCCUAGUACGAGAGGACCAGAGUGGACGAACCUCUGGUGUACCGGUUGUGACGCCAGUCGCAUCGCCGGGUAGCUAUGUUCGGAAGGGAUAACCGCUGAAAGCAUCUAAGCGGGAAGCCUACCUCAAGAUAAGAUUUCCCUAGGACUUUAUGUCCUCUAAAGAGCCGUUCGAGACUAGGACGUUGAUAGGUUGGAUGUGGAAGCAUAGUGAUAUGUGAAGCUGACCAAUACUAAUUGCUCGUGAGGCUUGACUAU